RNAcentral lists this transfer RNA (68 nucleotides) under Monodelphis domestica (gray short-tailed opossum). It matches the Rfam family "tRNA". From Rfam's summary of the family: Transfer RNA (tRNA) molecules are approximately 80 nucleotides in length. Their secondary structure includes four short double-helical elements and three loops (D, anti-codon, and T loops). Further hydrogen bonds mediate the characteristic L-shaped molecular structure. tRNAs have two regions of fundamental functional importance: the anti-codon, which is responsible for specific mRNA codon recognition, and the 3' end, to which the tRNAs corresponding amino acid is attached (by aminoacyl-tRNA synthetases). tRNAs cope with the degeneracy of the genetic code in two manners: having more than one tRNA (with a specific anti-codon) for a particular amino acid; and 'wobble' base-pairing, i.e. permitting non-standard base-pairing at the 3rd anti-codon position. The record is from Rfam by way of RNAcentral. Lineage: Eukaryota; Metazoa; Chordata; Mammalia; Didelphimorphia; Didelphidae.
CUAGGUGACUCAGUGGAUAGAGUGUUAGACUUGGAGUCUAAAAGACCCAAGUUUGAAUCUUGCUUUAG